GACGAACGCUGGCGGCGUGCUUAACACAUGCGAGUCGAACGGUAAGGCCCUUCGGGGUACACGAGUGGCGAACGGGUGAGUAACACGUGGGUGAUCUGCCCUGCACUUCGGGAUAAGCCUGGGAAACUGGGUCUAAUACCGGAUAGGACUCCGGACUGCAUGGUCUGGGGUGGAAAGCUUUUGCGGUGUGGGAUGGGCCCGCGGCCUAUCAGCUUGUUGGUGGGGUGAUGGCCUACCAAGGCGACGACGGGUAGCCGGCCUGAGAGGGUGACCGGCCACACUGGGACUGAGAUACGGCCCAGACUCCUACGGGAGGCAGCAGUGGGGAAUAUUGCACAAUGGGCGCAAGCCUGAUGCAGCGACGCCGCGUGAGGGAUGACGGCCUUCGGGUUGUAAACCCCUUUCAGCAUCGACGAAGCGAAAGUGACGGUAGGUGCAGAAGAAGGACCGGCCAACUACGUGCCAGCCGCCGCAGUAA
RNAcentral lists this ribosomal RNA (478 nucleotides) under uncultured bacterium. RNAcentral describes it as "partial 16S ribosomal RNA". It matches the Rfam family "Bacterial small subunit ribosomal RNA", at positions 28 to 523 of the family's 1533-position model. The record is from RNAcentral.